Diabrotica virgifera virgifera (western corn rootworm) is the source of this 1129-nucleotide long non-coding RNA. RefSeq lists it as uncharacterized. Lineage: Eukaryota; Metazoa; Arthropoda; Insecta; Coleoptera; Chrysomelidae. The record is from RefSeq and is a predicted model, not a curated record. The transcript is spliced from 2 exons.
ACAUUAGAAUGUGACUUUUCAUUAUUGCCGUGUUUAUAAUAAACAUAGCAAUAAUGAAAAGUCACAUUCUAAUGUUUUGACAGUUCUCUUACGUCAAAAAUUUUGACCUACGUAAUAACGUUUUUGUAGUAAAAAUACUAUCCGCUGGGAGCGUUAACUUUGACACAUGGUCACGUGGUACACUGUGGAUGUUUGUGGGACGAUCUUAUGUGUAUUCCUUAUGGGUGAUUUGCAAAAACAAGAGAUUAUUUAAAAUAUUACUAUUAAUUUUGUACAAUUGUAUCAAUACAUCACAAGAAAUUCGCUAUAAAUACUAUAUAUGGUAGAAAAUGUUUGAUAUAAUACAUAAAUAUAAUUUCGAUAUACAAACUUAGGAAGAGAUUUUUAGGUUAACAGCCGAAAUGUGAGGUUACGGCUGUCAAGAAGGACUUCGUAAAUGUAAACAAAAGUUGCAAAGUCAGAAUUUGCCCAAUCUCAAAGCCUUUUUAAUUCCUAUAAAGUUGAAAUGUUGCUUCCUCUGCUUAAGUAUACUGUUUUUAACAUAAUACCACCAUAAUUCGGUCUUAAAUUUGUAUGAAAUAUAGUUUUUUAGUGAUAUUCACCAAGCAAAGUUUACAAACUUUUGUGAACCAUUCUAUUUUGUAUAAUAAAAAUGGUAAUGUGCUUUGCCCCGGAUUGUACACAAUAUUGUGAAAGAGGGAUAUGUAGAUUCUUUGUUGUUCCCAGGAUCUGGUUGAAAAGAAGACAUUGAUUUCAUUACUAAGGCACCCAGGAGAAGGGCAUGGCCCUAACCCUCAAAUAUGAGUAUUAUAGAAAAUUAACAGUUACCCAGGCAACCAUCCAAUGAGAAUCGUAGGAAAAUUAACAGUUCCACAGACAAUCAUCCAGUGACCACAUUGUCUCUUUUUGGACAUACCAUCUGACGCUUUCUGAAGAUCUUGGGGUGUAAAUAACCCAGGACAGCACCGGAAGAAGCCGUCAGACCACAGGCUAAAUUCCUUAUUAAAAUCUAUAGCUUGCCUAUAAACAGAGACAGACUAUUUUUAUAUAAAAUAACUUCAUUAGUUCUAAAAUGUAGAUCUUGAAUUGUGACCAUAAUAAAAUGAGAAAAUAAAGUGUUUAUACUGAA